GUUACCUUCAAAAAAUAGUCCAGGAUUAAUGUUGGUUUGUUUUGUCCCAGUUUUUUUUGAUCGCGAUGAUAGGACGAAAAUGUUCUUGCCGAUAUAUCAAACAUAAGCUCUGACUUAAACAGAUCAAGCCUUCCCAAUGCAGAUUUAUUGGAUAAUUUUGUGUUUUCACAAGAGAAAAAUUCAAGCUUUAUUGAAAAUGAUAGAGAAGCGUCUCCUCCCCGUCGUCUGCUGUUUGAUCCUGAGGACAAGGAUGAUGACAUUACAGAUCCGGAUUAUAUACCCUCGAGUUAUAGUGACUCAGAUUUAGAAGUACGAGACGUGACUUUUAAUAAUAUAGAAGAGACAGGUGAUAACAUAGAAGAGAUAGGUGAUAACAUAGAAGAAAUAGGUGAUAACAUAGAAGAGAUCGGUAAAGCUGAUAGUCAAGAGGAUACAGAAUCAGAUGUAAAAGGAAAUAGACCCGAAAUAUUGAAUAUAAAGCGACCACGUACUUCAAAAGAAAAAGUUAUAAGAAAUAAGAAUAAACACCCUAUCGAGCCUUACACCUGCAACUGCAAGACUAAAAAAUGCCUUAAUGCAUUUGACUCAGACAAAAGAAAAGACUUGCAUACACGAUUUUGGUCAUUAGAUAAGGAUUUACAAACGAUGUGGCUUUAUAAGCAAAUUCACGAAACUAAAGCGAAACGUAAGCAUCUGGAAAGUCGUAGAAAUUUUUCUAGAACAUAUACCUUGCCGAAAAUUAACGCAAACGGUGAUGACGAGCGGGUAAAAAUAUACCAAAAAUUUUUUAUGACAACUUUGGGGUACAAAAGUACAAUGGUGGUAGACUAUAUGUUAAAAAAGAAUAAGGAUCCUCAUGGUACACAAAUAGCAACUCCCUUAUUAGCAGACCAAAGAAGAAAAUGGACUCCAGGAAAUAAAAAAAGCAAAACUCCAAUUACAGACCAUAUAAAUUCCUAUAAUCCCAAACCAUCACAUUAUAGAAGAGCACACGGGCCAAAUAGAGAGUACCUGCCAGCUGAAUUAUCUAUAAGGGAUUUGUACAAAGACUAUAACGAAAAAUAUCCUGAAAAUAAAGUUAGCUAUGAAACUUAUAGAAAUGAAGUAGAAGCAUUAAAUAUUGGGUUUUAUGAAAUAGAAGCAGACAAAUGUGAUACAUGUUCGGAAUCAGGCCAAACAAAUAACGAAGAAACUUCACUUAAAAAAGAAGAGCACAUUGCUGAGGCAAAGGAAGAACCACAGAUGAUUUCCACAGAUUAGGGAGUUGGCCACACAGAAGGCAUUCAUUAAAAAGAUAUAACCGGGCAGCAAAGUUUAAUGAUUUAGAUCGUUAUACUAUCCGAUCCACAGGCAUUUGAUUUAAUAGUAGAAAUUGCAUUUAAUACAUCAAUUUCUAAAUACGGUGUAAACUGAAAACUGCUUGUUAGAUGUACCUGUUUAUAUUUAUUUAUACAAACGUCAGUGAUAUCUAUCGCUGAAGGAUCAAUUGAUUCUAUAAAAAAAUUGUUAUAUCUUCGG
Anthonomus grandis grandis is the source of this 1518-nucleotide long non-coding RNA. RefSeq lists it as uncharacterized. Lineage: Eukaryota; Metazoa; Arthropoda; Insecta; Coleoptera; Curculionidae. The transcript is spliced from 3 exons. The record is from RefSeq and is a predicted model, not a curated record.